Molecule: ribosomal RNA, 450 nt
Filed under: uncultured bacterium
Lineage: Bacteria
Description: bacterial SSU rRNA
Rfam family: Bacterial small subunit ribosomal RNA
Source: RNAcentral
GUGGGGAAUUUUGGACAAUGGGCGAAAGCCUGAUCCAGCCAUGCCGCGUGCAGGAUGAAGGCCUUCGGGUUGUAAACUGCUUUUGUACGGAACGAAACGGUCCGGGUUAAUACCCUGGGCUAAUGACGGUACCGUAAGAAUAAGCACCGGCUAACUACGUGCCAGCAGCCGCGGUAAUACGUAGGGUGCAAGCGUUAAUCGGAAUUACUGGGCGUAAAGCGUGCGCAGGCGGUUUUGUAAGACAGGCGUGAAAUCCCCGGGCUCCACCGGGGAAUUGCGCUUGUGACUGGAAGGCUGGAGUGCGGCAGAGGGGGAUGGAAUUCCGCGUGUAGCAGUGAAAUGCGUAGAUAUGCGGAGGAACACCGAUGGCGAAGGCAAUCCCCUGGGCCUGCACUGACGCUCAUGCACGAAAGCGUGGGGAGCAAACAGGAUUAGAUACCCGAGUAGUCC